This is a long non-coding RNA of Chinchilla lanigera (long-tailed chinchilla), 2117 nucleotides long. NCBI's taxonomy places the organism in Eukaryota, Metazoa, Chordata, Mammalia, Rodentia, Chinchillidae. The record is from Ensembl.
CCACAAAUGCUGGCUGAAUGUCAACCAUGUGUUAGGCGUGGGCAAGAUACAAAGAUAGACAUAGGUAUUUGCCCCAGGAAACUCCCAACACAAUCUGGUAUAGUUCUGGUGUUAUGGGUGUUAUUUUUGAGACAGGGUCUUGGGAACAGCUGAAGCUGGAAAGUAAUUAUACAUGCAGGAUGAAGCCAGAUCGAGAACACAGGAGCUCCUUGAAGCAUGUAAACAAACCGUUGUAGCUUGUUAACUGAUUGCUAGGCAGAGAGGCUGAAGUUAACCUUUCGAGGGUGUCAGAGAAAUGCUCUACUGUUCUUGGGCAGUUCCCCUGCUCUGCUCAGGAGAGAGAGGAUCUCCACCUGAUACCAGCUUUUUGUCUCUUGUCUAUUUUUUCCUCAUUCUCACUGCCGUUCCUUCCCAGGGUACAGCAAAAACCCAGUGGAUCUGUACAGGGCUCACUAGGCAGUUCAGGCUGGCCUCAAAUUCCCAGCAGUCCACCUGCCUCACCCUCCCAAGUGCUGAGAUUAUAGGACUGCACCAUCAUACUCAGCAGGCCGAGCUUCUUAGACACAGCAAAGGAUGGCCACACUGCUCCUCAGGCUCAGUUUCUGAAAACAGCUUACCACGAGAGCCCUUCCAGAGGGAGCAGGUCACAACACGGUGGAGCCCAGUUCAGUCGCCUUGAAGCCCCUCCAGGUCACUCUGAGGUGACACACAGCCCAUCAAGUCAGGAAAUGGGCUGCAAGUGUUGGUGGCCAUAUCACUUUCAAGCCAAAGCCUUUGAGAACCAAAGUUGGACCCCCUCUCCAGCUCCCUUUCCUUCUGCCCUGGCAGCCAGUAACAUCCAGGUAGGGACCAGUCCACCACGCUGGGUUCCUGCAUAUGUACCCGGAGCACAGCCCACCCUGCCAACCCACAGCAGCUCUCAUGAGCAAGAAAUAAACUUUCGUGUAUUGAGACCUUGAGACUUUGACUUUGUUUUGAUGCAACAAAGCUCAGUGUAGCCAUACUGAUACAAAUCCUUCUGGUCAUUGUUUUGAAUCUCUGAUUAUGUGCCGUGUGUGUGUGUGUGUGUGUGUGUGUGUGUGUGUGUGUGUGGUGUGACUGAAAAAUACAAUGAAUGCUUUUUAAAAAAAUUAUCACAGUAAAUGACACAUUGCCACUAAUCCCCCUCAAAAUAGUCCCCUUGCUUCAAACACCCUAGUCCACUGUUCUUGCUACUGUCUGAAGCAGUUUUGCAAGCUGAUUCAAAAUGUUUACCUUUCCCAGUCAUUCUGAGUUUGGUGGAGAGCCAGAAGCAGCACGAUGCCACAUCCGGUGAAUAAGGCGGAUAAAAGCACAUCGUAAUGUGUUUACGAGCUGCCUUUUCACAUGGCACACAGCAGCAGCAUUCACAGUUUUCUAUCACUCUCAUAAAGACAUUCAUGAAAGAGGACUUUCAGAACUGCUUCAGAAAAUGAGAAGGACAAUGAGAUAAGGGUGUUUGAAGUGAGAGAGAGUCUUUUGAGGGAGGUUCACAGCUAUGUGCCUUUUACUGUAGUGAGGUUUUUCCCCCAGCGGAGGUCUUGGAUUGAGAAUUUGAGAUCAUGCACCGCCACACCCUCCUGCCACUUGUCCAGCUCCUGUGGAAGUGGCUGUGCUUGACCUGGGUUGGCUGUGAACCACUCGCUCUCAGAAACACGCUGAUAGGGUCCCUGCGUACCAGCUGCUCUGCUGUCCCAGCAUAUGAUGUAACUGCCAGGUAACGUGGUGGGAUGCUGGUGUGAUAAGUUUUUUAAACUUAAACAUUCAGUGUAUAUUUUGAUCACAUCUUCAGGCCAUAUGUAUGCACAUGUUUGUACACUAUACAUAUGAUAUUGUACAGAGGCGGACAAUUAUAUAUAUGCAGUCUAUGAAUGCAUAUACAUAACAUAUACUAAAUAUAUAGGUAUAUAUAUACUAUAUGUGUAUAUAUGUACUGUAUGUAUUUGUCAGAGUAAAUAUAUCCAUACAUUGUAUAUUAAAUACAGUCAUCCCUUCCUGUAUCUGCAGAUUCCAUGUCUAUGGAUUCAACUAACCUUGUACUGAAAAUACUUUUUAACAAAUGCAUAUCUAUGGAACAUGUACAGACAUCUUUUCCUUGU